This 497-nucleotide ribosomal RNA is filed under the name uncultured bacterium. Its description in RNAcentral is "partial 16S ribosomal RNA". It matches the Rfam family "Bacterial small subunit ribosomal RNA", at positions 28 to 507 of the family's 1533-position model. The record is from RNAcentral.
GAUGAACGCUGGCGGCGUGCCUAAUACAUGCAAGUCGAGCGAACAGACGAGGAGCUUGCUCCUCUGACGUUAGCGGCGGACGGGUGAGUAACACGUGGAUAACCUACCUAUAAGACUGGGAUAACUUCGGGAAACCGGAGCUAAUACCGGAUAAUAUAUUGAACCGCAUGGUUCAAUAGUGAAAGACGGUUUUGCUGUCACUUAUAGAUGGAUCCGCGCUGCAUUAGCUAGUUGGUAAGGUAACGGCUUACCAAGGCAACGAUGCAUAGCCGACCUGAGAGGGUGAUCGGCCACACUGGAACUGAGACACGGUCCAGACUCCUACGGGAGGCAGCAGUAGGGAAUCUUCCGCAAUGGGCGAAAGCCUGACGGAGCAACGCCGCGUGAGUGAUGAAGGUCUUCGGAUCGUAAAACUCUGUUAUUAGGGAAGAACAAAUGUGUAAGUAACUGUGCACGUCUUGACGGUACCUAAUCAGAAAGCCACGGCUAACUACGUG